Molecule: RNA transcript, 1708 nt
Organism: Tripterygium wilfordii
Lineage: Eukaryota; Viridiplantae; Streptophyta; Magnoliopsida; Celastrales; Celastraceae
Gene name: translation factor GUF1 homolog, chloroplastic-like
Exons: 9
Source: RefSeq, a predicted model, not a curated record
CCCCAAUGUCCCUCAACAAAAUAAACUCCAGUGCUUCAGAGUAUCAGAAGAAGAUCUCUCUCUCUAAGUUCCCUUCUUUCUCGACUCCCUCCCUCACUCAAACUCUCUUGCUUUUCCUCCUCCAGGCCUCCCGUCAUUCCACCUGCGUUAGCGUCCCCAUCUACGUCGCUGAAUUUGCCUCCCGAGUCGGCCAGGGUCAUCUGUUGAAGAUGACGGGUACUGUGCAUACCAGAGAGAUGAAGAGCGGUUUCUUGAUAACAUGGAUCUGGAGAGAGAAAGAGGCAUCACUAUCAAACUACAGGCUGCUCGAAUGCGCUACAUGUUCCAGAGAACCUUAUUGCCUGAAUUUAAUCGAUACUCCUGGUCAUUUGGACUUCUCCUAUGAGGUUUCCUGUUCUCUUGCGGCUUGUGAAGGUCCUCUUCUUGUUGUAGAUGCUUCUCAGAUUAUGACUGAAGCUUGUGUAUUAAGAAAUCAUUUUAUUGGGAUUGGAAGCACAGACAUGGCUAUUGUUUAUUUGGGUCUGGAGAACAACCCAGAGAUCAUCCCUGAUUCCGCCACCCCAUAAUACCACUGAUAUGCCUUUGAGGGUUUCGAUAUUCGAUAGGUAUGUGCUUGACUUCAUCACUACAGGUUAACACAUCAUUUUAUUGGGAUUGGAAGCACAGACAUUGGCUAUUGUUUAUUUGGGUCUGCAGAACAACCUAGAGAUCAUCCCUGAUUCUGCCACCCCAUAAUACCACUGAUAUUGCCUUUGAGGGCUUCGAUAUUCGACAGUUAUUAUGAUCCAUAUCGUGGUGUCAUUGUAUAUUUCCAGCUCAUUGAUGGGAAAAUUAAGAAAGGCGACAGGAAUUAAUUUGAUGGCCGGUGAAAAAGAGGAUUAUGUUGCUGAUGAAAUUGGAGUUCUGUCUCUCAAUCGAACGGAGGUGGAAGAAUAGGUAAAAUCAUACUUCCUUGUGAUUGUUGUUUUUUCUUAAAUAAAUAGAAGAUUCAAAUUCCAUUAUCUUCAACUUUUGGGAUUUAUGGUGUUCCUUGAUUAGAAACUUGACAUCUCCCUUAGAAUAAUAAUGUUGCAUGCGUUGGGCCUUCCCUUCCAUAAAGGGCGCUCAGCCCACAUGUGGGGAGAGUGUUGGUAUUUAGGCAUAUCAACUUCAAGAAGUUUCUUGUUUUCCUAUGUUAUUGACGUAAACUAUAUAACGGGUGUACAUCAUUUUUUAUUGGGCCGAAUUUGCAUUUAGUCGUCACUUUGUUUUGUUGGGCCCAGUUAGUUCUUAAAAUCCAUGUAAAUAUGUGGGUCCUAACAGAGCCUCUCACGAAUUCUCUUUUGGGGCACUCGUGGUAAAAUGUUCUAACAUUGUGCGUGGGGCAUAUUGGGUCCGCUGUAUUGACUAUUGAGGAACAUUUUUUUUUCAUAAACCAGAUAAAUUAAGAAUUAACAAAUACAAACGAGAGAUGGCAUACAUAUGCAUCCCACAUAAUAGAAGAUUUAUCUCCAUAGUCAGAUUUGCUUAUGCCUCUAUAAAAUCUUAAAAUGUAGCAAUCAGACAGCAGUAAUACAGGAUAGUCGACAAGUGAUAACAUCCUCGUUUUGAUUCAAAACAAAUUGGUCACACUCACACUUCUACAUGCCCAAUAUACUAGAGAGCCAUGUGUGCAUACCACCGGAUCUACAGGAAGGCAUCCUUCUCAAGUAACUUUACCACCUCAUUC